GGUCCUGAUCCUCUUGGUGAGGACGCCGCCUGCAAAGCGGCGGGCUCGGUUCGAAUCCGACUGGGCUUC
Molecule: transfer RNA, 69 nt
Filed under: Streptomyces phage FlowerPower
Lineage: Duplodnaviria; Heunggongvirae; Uroviricota; Caudoviricetes
Also listed under: 4 other names
Description: tRNA-Cys
Source: RNAcentral